This 2925-nucleotide ribosomal RNA is filed under the name Escherichia coli. Its description in RNAcentral is "23S ribosomal RNA". It matches the Rfam family "Bacterial large subunit ribosomal RNA". Lineage: Bacteria; Pseudomonadati; Pseudomonadota; Gammaproteobacteria; Enterobacterales; Enterobacteriaceae. The record is from RNAcentral.
GGGUUGUGAGGUUAAGCGACUAAGCGUACACGGUGGAUGCCCUGGCAGUCAGAGGCGAUGAAGGACGUGCUAAUCUGCGAUAAGCGUCGGUAAGGUGAUAUGAACCGUUAUAACCGGCGAUUUCCGAAUGGGGAAACCCAGUGUGAUUCGUCACACUAUCAUUAACUGAAUCCAUAGGUUAAUGAGGCGAACCGGGGGAACUGAAACAUCUAAGUACCCCGAGGAAAAGAAAUCAACCGAGAUUCCCCCAGUAGCGGCGAGCGAACGGGGAGCAGCCCAGAGCCUGAAUCAGUGUGUGUGUUAGUGGAAGCGUCUGGAAAGGCGCGCGAUACAGGGUGACAGCCCCGUACACAAAAAUGCACAUGCUGUGAGCUCGAUGAGUAGGGCGGGACACGUGGUAUCCUGUCUGAAUAUGGGGGGACCAUCCUCCAAGGCUAAAUACUCCUGACUGACCGAUAGUGAACCAGUACCGUGAGGGAAAGGCGAAAAGAACCCCGGCGAGGGGAGUGAAAAAGAACCUGAAACCGUGUACGUACAAGCAGUGGGAGCACGCUUAGGCGUGUGACUGCGUACCUUUUGUAUAAUGGGUCAGCGACUUAUAUUCUGUAGCAAGGUUAACCGAAUAGGGGAGCCGAAGGGAAACCGAGUCUUAACUGGGCGUUAAGUUGCAGGGUAUAGACCCGAAACCCGGUGAUCUAGCCAUGGGCAGGUUGAAGGUUGGGUAACACUAACUGGAGGACCGAACCGACUAAUGUUGAAAAAUUAGCGGAUGACUUGUGGCUGGGGGUGAAAGGCCAAUCAAACCGGGAGAUAGCUGGUUCUCCCCGAAAGCUAUUUAGGUAGCGCCUCGUGAAUUCAUCUCCGGGGGUAGAGCACUGUUUCGGCAAGGGGGUCAUCCCGACUUACCAACCCGAUGCAAACUGCGAAUACCGGAGAAUGUUAUCACGGGAGACACACGGCGGGUGCUAACGUCCGUCGUGAAGAGGGAAACAACCCAGACCGCCAGCUAAGGUCCCAAAGUCAUGGUUAAGUGGGAAACGAUGUGGGAAGGCCCAGACAGCCAGGAUGUUGGCUUAGAAGCAGCCAUCAUUUAAAGAAAGCGUAAUAGCUCACUGGUCGAGUCGGCCUGCGCGGAAGAUGUAACGGGGCUAAACCAUGCACCGAAGCUGCGGCAGCGACGCUUAUGCGUUGUUGGGUAGGGGAGCGUUCUGUAAGCCUGCGAAGGUGUGCUGUGAGGCAUGCUGGAGGUAUCAGAAGUGCGAAUGCUGACAUAAGUAACGAUAAAGCGGGUGAAAAGCCCGCUCGCCGGAAGACCAAGGGUUCCUGUCCAACGUUAAUCGGGGCAGGGUGAGUCGACCCCUAAGGCGAGGCCGAAAGGCGUAGUCGAUGGGAAACAGGUUAAUAUUCCUGUACUUGGUGUUACUGCGAAGGGGGGACGGAGAAGGCUAUGUUGGCCGGGCGACGGUUGUCCCGGUUUAAGCGUGUAGGCUGGUUUUCCAGGCAAAUCCGGAAAAUCAAGGCUGAGGCGUGAUGACGAGGCACUACGGUGCUGAAGCAACAAAUGCCCUGCUUCCAGGAAAAGCCUCUAAGCAUCAGGUAACAUCAAAUCGUACCCCAAACCGACACAGGUGGUCAGGUAGAGAAUACCAAGGCGCUUGAGAGAACUCGGGUGAAGGAACUAGGCAAAAUGGUGCCGUAACUUCGGGAGAAGGCACGCUGAUAUGUAGGUGAAGCGACUUGCUCGUGGAGCUGAAAUCAGUCGAAGAUACCAGCUGGCUGCAACUGUUUAUUAAAAACACAGCACUGUGCAAACACGAAAGUGGACGUAUACGGUGUGACGCCUGCCCGGUGCCGGAAGGUUAAUUGAUGGGGUUAGCGCAAGCGAAGCUCUUGAUCGAAGCCCCGGUAAACGGCGGCCGUAACUAUAACGGUCCUAAGGUAGCGAAAUUCCUUGUCGGGUAAGUUCCGACCUGCACGAAUGGCGUAAUGAUGGCCAGGCUGUCUCCACCCGAGACUCAGUGAAAUUGAACUCGCUGUGAAGAUGCAGUGUACCCGCGGCAAGACGGAAAGACCCCGUGAACCUUUACUAUAGCUUGACACUGAACAUUGAGCCUUGAUGUGUAGGAUAGGUGGGAGGCUUUGAAGUGUGGACGCCAGUCUGCAUGGAGCCGACCUUGAAAUACCACCCUUUAAUGUUUGAUGUUCUAACGUGGACCCGUAAUCCGGGUUGCGGACAGUGUCUGGUGGGUAGUUUGACUGGGGCGGUCUCCUCCUAAAGAGUAACGGAGGAGCACGAAGGUUGGCUAAUCCUGGUCGGACAUCAGGAGGUUAGUGCAAUGGCAUAAGCCAGCUUGACUGCGAGCGUGACGGCGCGAGCAGGUGCGAAAGCAGGUCAUAGUGAUCCGGUGGUUCUGAAUGGAAGGGCCAUCGCUCAACGGAUAAAAGGUACUCCGGGGAUAACAGGCUGAUACCGCCCAAGAGUUCAUAUCGACGGCGGUGUUUGGCACCUCGAUGUCGGCUCAUCACAUCCUGGGGCUGAAGUAGGUCCCAAGGGUAUGGCUGUUCGCCAUUUAAAGUGGUACGCGAGCUGGGUUUAGAACGUCGUGAGACAGUUCGGUCCCUAUCUGCCGUGGGCGCUGGAGAACUGAGGGGGGCUGCUCCUAGUACGAGAGGACCGGAGUGGACGCAUCACUGGUGUUCGGGUUGUCAUGCCAAUGGCACUGCCCGGUAGCUAAAUGCGGAAGAGAUAAGUGCUGAAAGCAUCUAAGCACGAAACUUGCCCCGAGAUGAGUUCUCCCUGACUCCUUGAGAGUCCUGAAGGAACGUUGAAGACGACGACGUUGAUAGGCCGGGUGUGUAAGCGCAGCGAUGCGUUGAGCUAACCGGUACUAAUGAACCGUGAGGCUUAACCUUACAACGCCGAAG